CAGCCGCCGCGGGAAUACGAAGGGUGCAAGCGUUAAUCGGAUUUACUGGGCGUAAAGCGCACGUAGGCGGAUCGAUCAGUCAGGGGUGAAAUCCCAGAGCUCAACUCUGGAACUGCCUUUGAUACUGUCGAUCUGGAGUAUGGAAGAGGUGAGUGGAAUUCCGAGUGUAGAGGUGAAAUUCGUAGAUAUUCGGAGGAACACCAGUGGCGAAGGCGGCUCACUGGUCCAUUACUGACGCUGAGGUGCGAAAGCGUGGGGAGCAAACAGGAUUAGAUACCCCUGUAGUCCCUGUCUCUUAUAC
Molecule: ribosomal RNA, 301 nt
Filed under: uncultured bacterium
Lineage: Bacteria
Description: partial 16S ribosomal RNA
Rfam family: Bacterial small subunit ribosomal RNA
Source: RNAcentral